CAGCAGCCGCGGUAAUACGUAGGGUGCAAGCGUUAAUCGGAAUUACUGGGCGUAAAGCGUGCGCAGGCGGUUUGUUAAGACAGAUGUGAAAUCCCCGGCCUCAACCUGGGACCUGCAUUUGUGACUGUAUAGCUAGAGUACGGUAGAGGGGGAUGGAAUUCCGCGUGUAGCAGUGAAAUGCGUAGAUAUGCGGAGGAACACCGAUGGCGAAGGCAAUCCCCUGGACCUGUACUGACGCUCAUGCACGAAUGCGUGGGGAGCAAACAGGAUUAGAUGCCCGCGUAGUCCCUGUCUCUUAUAC
Molecule: ribosomal RNA, 301 nt
Filed under: uncultured bacterium
Lineage: Bacteria
Description: partial 16S ribosomal RNA
Rfam family: Bacterial small subunit ribosomal RNA
Source: RNAcentral